This 253-nucleotide ribosomal RNA is filed under the name uncultured bacterium. Its description in RNAcentral is "partial 16S ribosomal RNA". It matches the Rfam family "Bacterial small subunit ribosomal RNA", at positions 524 to 776 of the family's 1533-position model. The record is from RNAcentral.
UACGGGGGGGGCAAGCGUUGUUCGGAAUUACUGGGCGUAAAGGGCGCGUAGGCGGCCUUCUAAGUCAGACGUGAAAUCCCUCGGCUCAACCGAGGAACUGCGUCUGAUACUGGAAGGCUUGAAUCCGGGAGAGGGAUGUGGAAUUCCAGGUGUAGCGGUGAAAUGCGUAGAUAUCUGGAGGAACACCGGUGGCGAAGGCGGCAUCCUGGACCGGUAUUGACGCUGAAAUACGAAAGCGUGGGGAGCAAACAGG